GACGAACGCUGGCGGCGUGCCUAAUACAUGCAAGUAGAACGCACAGUUUAUACCGUAGCUUGCUACACCAUAGACUGUGAGUUGCGAACGGGUGAGUAACGCGUAGGUAACCUGCCUGGUAGCGGGGGAUAACUAUUGGAAACGAUAGCUAAUACCGCAUAAUAUUAAUUAUUGCAUGAUAAUUAAUUGAAAGGUGCAAUUGCACCACUACCAGAUGGACCUGCGUUGUAUUAGCUAGUAGGUGAGGUAACGGCUCACCUAGGCGACGAUACAUAGCCGACCUGAGAGGGUGAUCGGCCACACUGGGACUUAGACACGGCCCAGACUCCUACGGGAGGCAGCAGUAGGGAAUCUUCGGCAAUGGACGAAAGUCUGACCGAGCAACGCCGCGUGAGUGAAGAAGGUGUUCGGAUCGUAAAGCUCUGUUGUAAGAGAAGAACGGGUGUGAGAGUGGAAAGUUCACACUGUGACGGUAUCUUACCAGAAAGGGACGGCUAGCUACGUG
This 505-nucleotide ribosomal RNA is filed under the name uncultured bacterium. Its description in RNAcentral is "partial 16S ribosomal RNA". It matches the Rfam family "Bacterial small subunit ribosomal RNA", at positions 28 to 507 of the family's 1533-position model. The record is from RNAcentral.